This 292-nucleotide ribosomal RNA is filed under the name uncultured bacterium. RNAcentral describes it as "partial 16S ribosomal RNA". It matches the Rfam family "Bacterial small subunit ribosomal RNA", at positions 505 to 796 of the family's 1533-position model. The record is from RNAcentral.
GUGUCAGCAGCCGCGGUAAGACAGAGGGUGCAAACGUUGUUCGGAAUUACUGGGCGUAAAGCGCGUGUAGGCGGCAUGACAAGUCGGAUGUGAAAGCCCUGGGCUCAACCCAGGAAGUGCAUUCGAUACUGCCGUGCUAGAGUCCCGGAGAGGGUGGUGGAACUCUCGGUGUAGAGGUGAAAUUCGUAGAUAUCGAGAAGAACACCGGUGGCGAAGGCGGCCACCUGGACGGUGACUGACGCUGAGACGCGAAAGCGUGGGGAGCAAACAGGAUUAGAAACCCUUGUAGUCC